This 165-nucleotide unclassified non-coding RNA is filed under the name uncultured Sordariomycetes. RNAcentral describes it as "sequence contains ITS2". Lineage: Eukaryota; Fungi; Ascomycota; Sordariomycetes. The record is from RNAcentral.
CAACCCUCAAGCACUGCUUGGUGUUGGGCUCCCCGCGGCGGCUCGUACCGCCCCGGGGGCCCGAAAAUCAGUGGCGGUCCCGCCAGGACCCCGAGCGCAGUAACUCAACCUCGCUCGCGGCGUCCCGGCGCGGAACCUGCCGUAAAACCCCCAUCUUUUUAAGAA